RNAcentral lists this ribosomal RNA (497 nucleotides) under uncultured bacterium. RNAcentral describes it as "partial 16S ribosomal RNA". It matches the Rfam family "Bacterial small subunit ribosomal RNA", at positions 28 to 507 of the family's 1533-position model. The record is from RNAcentral.
GAUGAACGCUGGCGGCGUGCCUAAUACAUGCAAGUCGAGCGAACAGACGAGGAGCUUGCUCCUCUGACGUUAGCGGCGGACGGGUGAGUAACACGUGGAUAACCUACCUAUAAGACUGGGAUAACUUCGGGAAACCGGAGCUAAUACCGGAGAAUAUAUUGAACCGCAGGGUUCAAUAGUGAAAGACGGUUUUGCUGUCACUUAUAGAUGGAUCCGCGCCGCAUUAGCUAGUUGUUAAGGUAACGGCUUACCAAGGCAACGAUGCGUAGCCGACCUGAGAGGGUGAUCGGCCACACUGGAACUGAGACACGGUCCAGACUCCUACGGGAGGCAGCAGUAGGGAAUCUUCCGCAAUGGGCGAAAGCCUGACGGAGCAACGCCGCGUGAGUGAUGAAGGUCUUCGGAUCGUAAAACUCUGUUAUUAGGGAAGAACCAAUGUGUAAGUAACUAUGCACGUCUUGACGGUACCUAAUCAGAAAGCCACGGCUAACUACGUG